Non-coding RNA from Cyprinus carpio (common carp), 2374 nucleotides. NCBI's taxonomy places the organism in Eukaryota, Metazoa, Chordata, Actinopteri, Cypriniformes, Cyprinidae. The record is from the annotation of a RefSeq genome assembly.
UUGGUUAGCAACUCAAAGGCACCAGUCACUGUGUCUACUUCGACUACUGGGGGAAAGGAACCAAAGUCACCGUUUCCUCAGCUCAACCAUCUCCACCAAAGUCAAUCUUCGCCAUGUCCCAGUGUACUCCUGAUUCUACUGGGUUCUUCACCAUCGGCUGCAUGGCAAGAGGUUUCUCACCUGCGGACUCGCUUACUUUUAAAUGGACGGAUUAUAAUACGAAGGAGUUGAGUGAUUUCGUGCAGUAUGCAGCAUUCGGGAGUGGUGGAGAAAUAUACCAAAAUUAGCCAUAUGCGCAUUAGUAAAAGCGAUUGGAAUCCACAAAAACCAUACAAGUGCGAAGCUUCAAAUCCUGCCGGCAAAAAAUAAUCCCUUAUUGCUCCAGGUCCAAGAAAUCCAACCCUGAGCUUGGUUCCUGUCACAACUCUAAAAAGUAAAUCUGUCAUGUGUAUUAUUGAAGAUUUCAACCCCCAAACAACCUCUUGGUACAAUGGAAAAUAAAUAAUACAAACAGCAUGAGCCAGCUAAAACUGGAAAGUAAACUUAAUAAUCAAGGUUAUUAUAACGGAUACAGUUUUUAUGAAGUCAGCAGUGACAACUGGGAUGUGGAUACUCAGUAUACUUGUGAGGUCACACACCAGGGAAAACAGUUUAACACCAAGGCAAACUUCAAAGCUAAAUUGUCACUGACAAUGGAGUCACCAAUUCAGAAAGAACUAUUUGAUAAUGAUAAAAUUGUCUUGCAAGCUGUUGUUUCUGGAGAUGUAAAAGUGCAAGAUACUUCAGUAUCAUGUAAAGUGAAGGAUGAAAGUGUACCCACUGAGAAUAUCACAACAGGGAAUGUUGAAUUUUCUACUGACACUUCACAAUUUAAAAGAAUUCACAAUGUCACUGUUGAUACAAAGAAAUGGUUUGAUGGUGAAAUGGUCAUCUGCACCAUCCGUGACACAAAUAAUAACAGAGACAUCAACCAGGAGAUCCGUUUUCAAAAAGGAGAUGGAAAUAAGCCCACUGUUACCAUUUACAAACCAGAUAACGUCAAAGAUCAUAUCUCUCAUGUGUGUGAGGUCACCAGCCCUAAACUCGGCGAUGUCUAUGUAAUAUGGACAGUGGGUAAUGAGCCUUACAUAGAGGGCGGAACCAGUGCUCGCAUCCAUCAAAAGGACUCCAUGUCUGUUCUCAGCAUACUAACAAUGUCAAAACAAGAGUACGAACAUCCCAGAACCACCAUCACCUGUGCAGUCAUUCACGCCAAUAUGGACAAUAGAAGAGCUCCAUUACAAGUGUCAACAAGCCAAACUAAAUUGUCACUGACGGUGAAGCCACCAAUUCAGAAAAUACUAUUUGUUAAUGAUACAGUUGUCUUGCAAGCUGUUGUUUCUGGAGAUGUAAAAAAUACAGUGCAAGAUACUUCAGUAUCAUGUAAAGUGAAGGAUGAAAGUGUGCCCAAUAAGAAUAUCACAACAGGGAAUGUUGAAUUUUCUAAUGACACUUCACAAUUUAAAAGAAUUCACGAUGUCAUCAUUAAUACAAAGAAAUGGUUUGAUGGUGAAAUGGUCAUCUGCACCAUCCGUGACACAAAUAAUAACAGAGACAUCGAGCAGGAGAUCCGUUUUGAAACAGGAGAUGGAAAUAAGCCCACUGUUACCAUUUACAAACCCGAUAACAUCAAAGAUCAUAUCUCUCAUGUGUGUGAGGUCACCAGCCCUAAACUCGGCGAUGUCUAUGUAAUAUGGAAAGUGGGUGAUGAGCCUUACAUAGAGGGCGGAACCAGUGCUCCCAUCCAUCAAAAGGACUCCACGUCUGUUUUCAGCAUCCUAACAAUGACAAAAGAAGAGUAUGAACAGCUCAGCACCACCAUCACCUGUGCAGUCAUUCAUGCCAACAUGGACAAUAGAAGAGCUCCAUUACAAGUGUCAACAAGCCAAAGUGAGCCACCAGAGCCAGGGACAGGCUUUGCUCUGGACUGCAAUAAAGAUGUUCUUGAGGAGGAUGAGUUCAGAAGUCUCUGGUCCACUGCCACCUCAUUCAUCUUCCUCUUCCUCUUCUCUCUGACCUACAGCGCUGUGCUCAGCCUCUUCAAGGUGAAGCAGUGAUGAUUUGUAAAAAGAACUUGUGAAGACCCCAAGGUUUCUUCUUUGUUUUGUGACUGUAAUUAAAUGUUAGUCUAAUGUAUUUGGAAAUCAAAAAAGGAAAAUAACCACUUCAUCUCUAUCUAUCUUUUGCUCAGUUUAUUCCUGUAUUUCUGUACGCUUGUAUGAAAAACAUAGAGGCUUUCUGAGAGUGAAUAAUUUACCUCUGUGCUCGCAUUUUUGAAGACACUGACAAAUAUGUACACAUAUCAAUAAAGUCUUAUUAUAUCUCUCUGUCAAAA